UGGGGAAUAUUGGGCAAUGGGGGGAACCCUGACCCAGCAACGCCGCGUGGAGGAAGAAGGUUUUCGGAUCGUAAACUCCUGUCCUCAGGGAAGAGCAGAAGACGGUACCUGAGGAGGAAGCCCCGGCUAACUACGUG
Molecule: ribosomal RNA, 137 nt
Filed under: uncultured bacterium
Lineage: Bacteria
Description: partial 16S ribosomal RNA
Rfam family: Bacterial small subunit ribosomal RNA
Source: RNAcentral